RNA transcript from Panicum virgatum (switchgrass), 2245 nucleotides. RefSeq lists it as uncharacterized. The transcript is spliced from 12 exons. The record is from RefSeq and is a predicted model, not a curated record. NCBI's taxonomy places the organism in Eukaryota, Viridiplantae, Streptophyta, Magnoliopsida, Poales, Poaceae.
CCACACGGCCACACCCUUUCACACUUCCAACACCGCUGCCGCAGCCGUCGCCGGCGAGACCCGUACCACCCACCGACCCUCUCACCGAUGGCGGCGGCCGCGAGGGCCGCUUCGGCGGCGCGCUCCCCGCUCCUCGUCCACCACCACCGCCGCCGCCUCCCCCAGGUGCCGUCCGGCGGGGGAGGCUCGCUCCGGGUGGGCGGGGCCGGACGCGGGCGGGAUGAGGGGCGGAGGCGGGCCAGGGCCGGGGUUAGGGUCUUCGCGCGCUACUCCCCGGCCCAGGACUUCUCCACGCGCUUCCAAGAUAGAGUUGGUGAGUUGCCUAAAUUGGUGGAGGACCUUCUCCAGACGUCGAUUAGCACAGGGCCCCGAGGUGCUUUCAGGAUGGCGCAAGGGAUCCAAGCUGUGCUUGGGGUUGGUGGGGAGUGGCUGAAUGACCUCUCAAAGACUGCUAACACAUCAGCAGGAAUUCCAGCUCAGAUGCAGCUUGGUUUGCUUUCUCCUCUUUACCUUAGGAGGCUUUUUGAGCGCAUGGGUGCAACUUAUAUCAAGCUAGGCCAGUUCGUAGCAUCUGCACCAACUUUGUUUCCUGCAGAAUAUGUUGAGGAAUUCCAGAACUGCUUUGACCGAGCACCAGCUGUACCUUAUGAUGUGAUUCAGUCAAUAUUGCGUGAGGAGUUGCAGCGACCAUUGGAUAGUAUAUAUGAAUACAUCGACCCGGUGCCAAUAGCUUCUGCCUCAAUAGCACAGGUUCAUGGGGCUAGGUUGAAGAGCUCUCAGAAGGAUGUGGUGAUUAAAGUUCUAAAGCCUGGCAUUGAAGAUACUUUGGUUGCUGAUCUGAAUUUUAUCUAUGUCGUUGCACGAGUUUUGGAAUUCUUGAACCCUGAGCUACAGAGGACAUCACUGGUAGGCAUUGUCAAGGAUAUAAAGGAAUCAAUGCUUGAAGAAGUUGAUUUUAGAAAAGAGGCUGCAAAUAUUCAGGCUUUUCAGGGAUACAUAGAUGCUAUGGGAUUUGACAGGCAGGCAAAAGCCCCAUUUGUGUAUCAGCACUGUAGCACAAAACGUGUGUUGACUAUGGAAAGGUUGUAUGGAGUUCCGCUUACUGAUCUUGAUUCUAUAAGAUCUCUUGUUCCGGAUCCUGAGUUGACUUUAGUCACUGCCCUUAAUGUCUGGUUUGGAAGCUUGAUUUCAUGUGAAUCCUUCCAUGCCGAUGUGCAUGCUGGGAACUUAUGGUUGCUCCGUGAUGGGCGAAUUGGUUUCAUUGAUUUCGGUAUUGUUGGUCGCAUAUCCCCAAGGACUUGGGCUGCUAUGGAGGUCUUUUUGGCUUCUUUUGCAACUGAGGACUAUGAUGCUAUGGCCUCUGCCCUUUCUGAAAUGGGUGCUACAGGGAAUGAUAUAAAUAUUGAUGAAUUUGCAAAGGACCUGCGAAAGAUAUUCUCAUCAAUACAGGACUUGGAUACUGAAAUCAUAGUCGCAACAGCAAGAGGUCCUGAUGCUACAGCAGUAUCUGCUAAUGUUGUCCUUGAUGAGAGACAGAUGAAUGCUCUAUUUCUUGAUCUGGUGAGGGUCAGUGAGUCCUAUGGGCUGAAAUUUCCUCGGGAAUUUGCUCUUCUCAUGAAGCAGCUACUGUAUUUUGAUCGCUACACAAGGUUGUUGGCUCCCAGCAUGAACAUGCUUCGAGAUGAGAGAAUCAACAUCUCGACCAACCGACAACCCAGACGAACAGAUCGGUUUCAAUGAGGCCCCUUCAUUAAUAAUUAGCAAUAUAGUUGAAGGGUGAUAAUAGCAAGCUUAUGUGACCAAACACUGUAUCUGUAUAUAGUUGUAUAUAGUAGUGCCAGACCAGCAUAGAAAUCUUGUACACUAGGGUUAUGCCAUAGUGACUAGGUAACAUGUAAAAUAUGUUUGUUACGUCCCAGUAGACUUUAACUGCCUUGUUCCUGGUCGAGCGGAGUCAGGUUAUGAUGUGGCUGUACUGUACUGCAACUGUCAACCGAGGAAGUGAUGAUGUAUAUGUUUGUAAAAGCCCAACGGUGCAGGUGUAUCAUGUGCUAAAGGGCACCGUGUUUUGUUGCAUUUUCUCAGGGUCACAACGAUCUUUGGGGAUUCAACUAGGAUUGUACCGCGUAAGGUGACUUUCUGGCCCCUUUACUGCUGUGGCCUGCGAAACAGGGUUCAGUGACAUUGACUCGGAAAAUAUCAGCUCAGGUUCGAGCUUCGAAUAAGUACCAGAAUUCACAUUUUA